GAUGAACGCUGGCGGCGUGCCUAAUACAUGCAAGUCGAGCGAACAGAUGAGGAGCUUGCUCCUCUGACGUUAGCGGCGGACGGGUGAGUAACACGUGGAUAACCUACCUAUAAGACUGGGGUAACUUCGGGAAACCGGCGCUAAUACCGGAUAAUAUAUUGAACCGCAUGGUUCAAUAGUGAAAGACGGUUUUGCUGUCACUUAUAGAUGGAUCCGCGCCGCAUUAGCUAGUUGGUAAGGUAACGGCUUACCAAGGCAACGAUGCGUAGCCGACCUGAGAGGGUGAUAGGCCACACUGGAACGGAGACACGGUCCAGACUCCUAAGGGAGGCAGCAGUAGGGAAUCUGCCGCAAUGGGCGAAAGCCUGACGGAGCAACGCCGCGUGAGUGAUGAAGGUCUUCGGAUCGUAAAACUCGGUUAUUAGUGAAGAACAAAUGUGUAAGUAACUAUGCACGUCUUGACGGUACCUAAUCAGAAAGCCACGGCUAACUACGUG
RNAcentral lists this ribosomal RNA (497 nucleotides) under uncultured bacterium. RNAcentral's name for it is "partial 16S ribosomal RNA". It matches the Rfam family "Bacterial small subunit ribosomal RNA", at positions 28 to 507 of the family's 1533-position model. The record is from RNAcentral.